Molecule: transfer RNA, 82 nt
Filed under: Echinostoma caproni
Lineage: Eukaryota; Metazoa; Platyhelminthes; Trematoda; Plagiorchiida; Echinostomatidae
Rfam family: tRNA
About the family: Transfer RNA (tRNA) molecules are approximately 80 nucleotides in length. Their secondary structure includes four short double-helical elements and three loops (D, anti-codon, and T loops).
Source: Rfam by way of RNAcentral
GGCCUCGUAGCUCAGCUGGUAGAGCAUGCGCGUGCAAUGUGUAAGCGGUGUCCAUGCAUGGGUUCAAAUCCCACCGAGGCUA